CACUCCUGUUUCUGCCUCAGAUUCUUAUGUUUCCAUAGAAUUAUGGGUUCUGUUUAUGGAGAAGAUUAAGCCUGUUAACGGAGCUUGGACACUUUUGAUACAACCGUCCAUGUUCUUUUAGCAGGAUCGUGUGGUUAGAUUUGUCCGUGUGUGAUACACUCGAUAAUGGUUAGUUCCAAAUGACGAGAAAAUCUGGCAAAUCUCCACUACAUAU
This 214-nucleotide small nucleolar RNA is filed under the name Debaryomyces hansenii. RNAcentral describes it as "Small nucleolar RNA snR43". It matches the Rfam family "Small nucleolar RNA snR43". Lineage: Eukaryota; Fungi; Ascomycota; Pichiomycetes; Serinales; Debaryomycetaceae. The record is from Rfam by way of RNAcentral.